AUACGUAGGUGACAAGCGUUAUCCGGAUUUACUGGGUGUAAAGGGCGUGUAGGCGGUUUAGCAAGUCAGAAGUGAAAUUCCCGGGCUUAACUUGGGCGCUGCUUCUGAAACUGCUUUACUUGAGUGCUGGAGAGGAUAGUGGAAUUCCUAGUGUAGCGGUAAAAUGCGCAGAUAUUAGGAGAAACACCGGUGGCGAAGGCGGCUAUCUGGACAGUAACUGACGCUGAGGCGCGAAAGCACGGGGAGCAAACAGGAUUAGAUUCCCUGGUAGUCCACGCCGUAAACGAUGAAUACUAGGUGUCGGGUUUCUAUAGAGAUUCGGUGCCGCAGCAAACGCAAUAAGUAUUCCACCUGGGGAGUACGUUCGCAAGAAUGAAACUCAAAGGAAUUGACGGGG
This 397-nucleotide ribosomal RNA is filed under the name uncultured bacterium. Its description in RNAcentral is "partial 16S ribosomal RNA". It matches the Rfam family "Bacterial small subunit ribosomal RNA", at positions 523 to 918 of the family's 1533-position model. The record is from RNAcentral.